RNAcentral lists this ribosomal RNA (382 nucleotides) under uncultured bacterium. RNAcentral's name for it is "bacterial SSU rRNA". It matches the Rfam family "Bacterial small subunit ribosomal RNA", at positions 28 to 412 of the family's 1533-position model. The record is from RNAcentral.
GACGAACGCUGGCGGCGUGCUUAACACAUGCAAGUCGAGCGGUAAGGCCCUUUCGGGGGUACACGAGCGGCGAACGGGUGAGUAACACGUGGGUGACCUGCCUUUAGCUCUGGGAUAAGCCUGGGAAACUGGGUCUAAUACCGGAUAUGACUCCAUGACGCAUGUUGUGGGGUGGAAAGCCUUGUGCGGCUAGGGAUGGGCCUGCGGCCUAUCAGCUUGUUGGUGGGGUGAUGGCCUACCAAGGCGACGACGGGUAGCCGGCCUGAGAGGGCGACCGGCCACACUGGGACUGAGACACGGCCCAGACUCCUACGGGAGGCAGCAGUGGGGAAUCUUGCGCAAUGGGCGAAAGCCUGACGCAGCGACGCCGCGUGGGGAUGAC